RNAcentral lists this ribosomal RNA (398 nucleotides) under uncultured Sordariomycetes. RNAcentral's name for it is "partial small subunit ribosomal RNA". It matches the Rfam family "Eukaryotic small subunit ribosomal RNA", at positions 30 to 432 of the family's 1831-position model. Lineage: Eukaryota; Fungi; Ascomycota; Sordariomycetes. The record is from RNAcentral.
GCUUGUCUCAAAGAUUAAGCCAUGCAUGUCUAAGUAUAAGCAAUUAUACAGCGAAACUGCGAAUGGCUCAUUAUAUAAGUUAUCGUUUAUUUGAUAAUACUUUACUACUUGGAUAACCGUGGUAAUUCUAGAGCUAAUACAUGCUGAAAAUCCCGACUUCGGAAGGGAUGUAUUUAUUAGAUUAAAAACCAAUGCCCCUCGGGGCUCUCUGGUGAAUCAUGAUAACUAGUCGAAUCGACAGGCCUUGUGCCGGCGAUGGCUCAUUCAAAUUUCUUCCCUAUCAACUUUCGAUGUUUGGGUAUUGGCCAAACAUGGUGGCAACGGGUAACGGAGGGUUAGGGCUCGACCCCGGAGAAGGAGCCUGAGAAACGGCUACUACAUCCAAGGAAGGCAGCAGG